RNAcentral lists this ribosomal RNA (433 nucleotides) under uncultured bacterium. Its description in RNAcentral is "partial 16S ribosomal RNA". It matches the Rfam family "Bacterial small subunit ribosomal RNA", at positions 29 to 507 of the family's 1533-position model. The record is from RNAcentral.
AACGAACGCUGGCGGCAUGCCUAACACAUGCAAGUCGAACGAGACCUUCGGGCCUAGUGGCGCACGGGUGCGUAACGCGUGGGAACCUGCCCUUAGGUUCGGAAUAACUCCCUGAAAGGGGUGCUAAUACCGGAUAAUGUCUUCGGACCAAAGAUUUAUCGCCUUUGGAUGGGCCCGCGUUGGAUUAGCUAGUUGGUAGGGUAAAAGCCUCCCAAGGCGACGAUCCAUAGCUGGUCUGAGAGGAUGAUCAGCCACACUGGGACUGAGACACGGCCCAGACUCCUACGGGAGGCAGGAGUGGGGAAUAUUGGACAAUGGGCGAAAGCCUGAUCCAGCAAUGCCGCGUGAGUGAUGAAGGCCUUAGGGUUGUAAAGCUCUUUUACCCGGGAUGAUAAUGACAGUACCGGGAGAAUAAGCUCCGGCUAACUCCGUG